GGCAGCUUCCUGAAGGCUCAGUCCCGAUUCAGCAAUCCUCAUGACCAAACCCAUUGCCCAGCAGCUAAAAAUGAGCAGGUCAGAGAGAAAGAGAAUCAUUUGGCUAAUACUGGGUUAGCCAUAUAAAUCUGGGUUCGAUUCCAUUCAAUGAGCAUAUAUGAAGCGCCUACUAUAAAGCUGGAUAUCAAGGGUCCAGAGGAACAGAUGAAACUCUCUCUGCCCCCAGGGGCAAUGAAAUAUGGAAGAAGGAUGAGAAGGAGACCUGUGUCUGCUGACAUUUGGGGCUCUGACAAUUGCACAUACGCCAUGGCUCCUGGGCAGCUCAUUCCCUGGAUUUCUACAGAGGCACGUACUUGGACGGGUCGUGCUGCUGAACUGGAUUCAUGUCACUAGCAAGGUCAUAUAUGGAAAACUGUCGAGCUGGGGCAUCAUCACCUAGGAAGGAGAUUCAUAGACUGGAGAGGAUUUACACAAUCAAAGGAAC
This 484-nucleotide long non-coding RNA is filed under the name Monodelphis domestica (gray short-tailed opossum). RNAcentral describes it as "lncRNA (ENSMODG00000046660.1)". The record is from RNAcentral. Lineage: Eukaryota; Metazoa; Chordata; Mammalia; Didelphimorphia; Didelphidae.